AUUGAACGCUGGCGGCAUGCCUUACACAUGCAAGUCGAACGGCAGCACGGGGGCAACCCUGGUGGCGAGUGGCGAACGGGUGAGUAAUACAUCGGAACGUGUCCUUUCGUGGGGGAUAACCAGUCGAAAGACUGGCUAAUACCGCAUGAGAUCUCACGAUGAAAGCGAGGGACCGCAAGGCCUCGCGCGAUUGGAGCGGCCGAUGUCGGAUUAGCUAGUUGGCGGGGUAAAAGCCCACCAAGGCGACGAUCCGUAGCUGGUUUGAGAGAACGACCAGCCCCAUUGGGACUGAGACACGGCCCAGACUCCUACGGGAGGCAGCAGUGGGGAAUUUUGGACAAUGGGGGCAACCCUGAUCCAGCCGUGCCGCGUGUGUGAAGAAGGCUUUCGGGUUGUAAAGCACUUUCGGACGGAACGAAAUCGCCCGUGUUAACAGCGCGGGUGGAUGACGGUACCGUAAGAAGAAGCACCGGCUAACUACGUGCCAGCAGCCGCAGUAA
Molecule: ribosomal RNA, 500 nt
Filed under: uncultured bacterium
Lineage: Bacteria
Description: partial 16S ribosomal RNA
Rfam family: Bacterial small subunit ribosomal RNA
Source: RNAcentral